AGCAGCCGCGGUAAUUCCAGCUCCAAUAGCGUAUAUUAAAGUUGUUGCAGUUAAAAAGCUCGUAGUUGAAUUUCGGAAUCUGUCCGUUGGUCGGGCUUAAUUGUCCGUACUGAUGUGAUGGGUUCUUACCUUCUGAAUAACCAGCAUGUCAUUAAUUUGGUGUGUUGGGGAAGCAGGACUAUUACCUUGAAAAAAUUAGAGUGCUCAAAGCAGGCUAGUGCCUGAAUACAUUAGCAUGGAAUAAUAAAAUAGGACGGCAUGGUUCUAUUUUGUUGGUUUCUAGGAUCACCGUAAUGAUUAAUAGGGAUAGUUGGGGGCAUUAGUAUUCAAUUGUCAGAGGUGAAAUUCUUGGAUUUAUUGAAGACUAACUUCUGCGAAAGCAUUUGCCAAGGAUGUUUUCAUUAAUCAAGAACGAAAGUUAGGGGAUCGAAGACGAUCAGAUACCGUCGUAGUCUUAACCAUAAACUAUGCCGACUAGGGAUCGGACGAUGUUAAUUUUAUAAUGACUCGUUC
This 513-nucleotide ribosomal RNA is filed under the name uncultured Acaulospora. Its description in RNAcentral is "SSU rRNA". It matches the Rfam family "Eukaryotic small subunit ribosomal RNA", at positions 569 to 1081 of the family's 1831-position model. The record is from RNAcentral. Lineage: Eukaryota; Fungi; Glomeromycota; Glomeromycetes; Diversisporales; Acaulosporaceae.